UAAUUGCUCAAAACUCAGAAUCAUUUCCCUUUUCAACAGUAGCAACAGAAUAGAUAAGGUGAGACAAUAACAUGUAGUCAAGCAACUAGCAAGAUAUCCAAGUGAUAAAACGCAACUCAAAAGAAAAGAUAAUAGAAGUGCAGAACAGAACUAAUGCAGUCACAUAGCGAUUUUGGCUACUUUGUGAAGGAAUGAGGAAACGAGAGAGCCACGGUUG
RNAcentral lists this unclassified non-coding RNA (217 nucleotides) under Hevea brasiliensis (rubber tree). The record is from RNAcentral. Lineage: Eukaryota; Viridiplantae; Streptophyta; Magnoliopsida; Malpighiales; Euphorbiaceae.